Molecule: long non-coding RNA, 22995 nt
Organism: Columba livia (rock pigeon)
Lineage: Eukaryota; Metazoa; Chordata; Aves; Columbiformes; Columbidae
Exons: 3
Source: RefSeq, a predicted model, not a curated record
CUGUCAGUUCAUGUUCCUUAGGAAACAGCAGAAAGUAAAAUUAAUGAAAUUCAGUGAAUGCUUGCCAGAAAAUGUUUGCUUUAUAAUAAAAACACAGGCAUGCCAUGAAAAUACUUAGGAGGCAGAAAGCAUAUUGGAUACUUUUUAUAUCUUAGAGAACAUUAUGUAAUUUGUUCCUUAGAUGUCUUCAAGCUACGUUAAAAAAAAAAAUCAGACAUACCAAAUAAAAAUAAUGAAAAUGCCCUUCUCCGCCCUGUAAUACAGCCUGUAGGAUCCCAGGUUCUGACCCCGGUGAGGCCCUCAGUCUGGCAAGCAGCUCUAGGACUGGAAGCUGCAAGCUCCAGCUGCACCGAAGUUCUCUCCCUCUGCGCUGGAGCCCCCUCGCAGACUACAGCGAUCUGCGCAAGCCAAAUUUUUUUCUCUCUGUCUGGGAUCUGGCAAUGACCUCCUGCAACCUAACUGCUCUCCCAACCAGCCUUUCUCCAGGCUCUGUGUCGAUCUGGCAAAUGCUUCUAGCUGUAAGGAGAUGAAAAGAAGGUAAGGAAAAAUAAGGGGAAAAAAAAAAAGCAAGCUCUGCAGAUGAAAGUCUGAGGCAGUGUUUUCCUUUCCAAAGUGCUGCUACAUUCCCAUAAGCUUGUGGUUUCCUGCAUUCUGCUGGAAGGCUUUUUUUUUUUAAAUCCUGCUGGUGAUAUCUGAAGAGGGAAAAUGUCCAGCACUAACAGGAGGCCUUUUGUUCUAUUCGUUUCUAAGUGGACUUUAACCCAGUUACUACGGACUGAGUCACUGUAGAAACAAAUAACAUAAAAGUUCUCUGUUUCGUCCCCCUGGACAGGUCAGGGACGUGUUACGUUCUGUUCUUCCUCUCCUGCUUUCUGGAAGCAGUACUAGACCUGGCAUUACACUGCAAUAAUAAUGAACAUAGUUUAUGGUUGUUUUUUUUAUAUGUCCUGGCAACCCCUACAGAGUUGAUAAUGCAAUAGAGCCCGCAUUUCAUUAACAAAAUAAACGCAUGAGGGGCGUAUCUUUGGGUAAUGAGAUGAAAUUAUGCUGGAGAAAGGCUGGCUACCAGACACCAGCAAGAUGUGAGGAAGUGUGACACAUCUAGGUGCAUGUCUGAGCUAUUUUGGUACCUUCUCAAAUCUCUUAAUGACUCACAGCAAACAACUGCUUGUCUCUGAAUGUGACUGUAAGAUUCUCUUGCCAUCAGGCUGAAUUUUAGGCUGAAUAUGAAGGCUGAAUUUCAGUCAUACCUUGCAGUUCUGUUGGCUAUGACAAGUUAUAUCCUGUCACCAUAUACCCAUUUUAGGGUAAACUCUUUUAUUUAGAUAGAUCUAAAAAGAAUAAGCAUCCCAUGCAUACGCCUGAGGUUCCCUGGGCUUGCUGAUCUCUGCUCUACAAAGUGCACAGGAGGAUUGCUCCUCCUCUUUCACCCCUUCUCUCACCAGCCCACCUUCCCUGAAAAUCUUUUUAACUCUUUAGUGUUCCCUUAUCUCUGAGCUCUCAGCACUGGCAAAACAGCUUCCUGGUGUGGCCGGCAAGCACAGAAGGCGGCUAUGGGCUUGCUUUUCUCCCCCUUUUGUCCCCUCCCUAGAGCUGCCUACUUGAUUGCUUAUCUACAGCCAUUGUGUUGGUUUCCCACAGACCUCCUCCUAGUCUUGGGUACUCCAACUAAUUUUUGAAGUGGGCAAGUUUUUUACUGGGAAUAGGCUAGUAGUAGGUAGGCCAGAAAUAUGCUUUUCAGCUGGGCAAUGGGCACACAUGCAAAGUUAAGACAGCAACAGACAGCGACACUUAGCAGAGAGGACUUUGUACAACAACAUGACCUCACUAUGCUGCAUGGAGAACUAAACACAGCAAAGCCAAGACACUUCCAGGCCAUGGCUGUGAGUCAGCAGGAGUUUCGCAUGUGGCUGGUAUUGCGCUGGGCAUGGGAGGGCAGAGAGCGCAGAGCCAGGACCAUCCCAAUGCCAGGGCUGGUGUGCAGUGUCAGCACUGCGCGCAGCACUGUGCCAGGCCUCCUGCUGCCCCCCCUUCCCUCUCCCAUUUCCCAGCAAGCUUGUCAUCCUUCAGCAUUCCCGGGAUUACAUGCCUGGCACAAAUGGCACGUGUUCCCACACCUGCUCUGAGCUGUGCAGAAAGGCUGUCCUAGCUGCUGAGGUUUGCUGGAGGACAGAAGCACUUUGGCUGUGGCUCCUUUCUCCUGGUUUGAUUUCUUGUGACAGUCUUGCCAUUCUGGGCUGAAACAGCCCAGAAACUGUUGGUUGACUCCUUUUGCUCUGCCAGAACCGCUAAGAGUAAAGGGCUUGCAUAGCGAAUGAAAAGUGAAUACGAACGGUUACCUUAUUGACUUCUUAACACUCUGUAUUCUGUCUGUAGGAGCCUGUCAGUCUACACAACCUGCAGCAUGGGUGAUGAAAAAACAAGUCAAGUGGUCAGCAAGGGCUCCGUUACCUUGGUGCUACUUAGCAUCAUUUUUCUUACCUAACUUUUCCUUUGGUUUAUUCUGCAACAGCCACAAGAGACCAAAAUAUGGUCCAGGUUUAGCAUAAUUUGGGAGCAUAGAUGGCUGAAUUACCCCUUUCUUAUUAUAGUAGCAGCAAGGACACAAAGACAACCUGUUCUUUUACCUUGUCCCUUGCUACUACAGUAUCAGGGAUUCACUGGGAUGGUCCUCACAUCACUUGGGCCGAUGGAAAAGAUGCAAAAGAAAUUCCAUCCCAACUAGGGAUCUGGAUGGGUUUCAGAGGCUCUCAAAGGCAAGUAAAGAAGCAAAACAUUCUGAAGUUCAGAUGGCAGAUUCUUUGGGACAGUUUCCAAGCAAAUGUAUGUUCAUUUCUUGGCUGAAUACAACUUUAAACAGAAAUUAGAACAGUGCACAUGGGGAGAAAUCUGUGACCAGCAGAAGCAAAACAUCUGUUUUUUUACCAGAGACAACUGAACUCCAGAUGUUGUCAACAUCACAUAAUUCUAGAAGUGCCAAUCUCUUUGCGGGUUGCCCUGAGAAAGGUCAUGUCACUGAACUUAUGGUGACUGAAUGGCUUUUGUACUGGAAAAUCCAAUCCCAGAUGUGCAGUGCAUGCUGGAGUUUGAUGCAAUUUGUUUUGCUAUCAGAUUAGUCACUGGUGAAAACGAGAUCUCAAGGAGAUAUCCCGCUUUAUGAGAGCAAGCUGGUCUCAUAGAUCCUGCCUGAGUUGUACUUGUGUUCAUUCCUCUUGAAACCCGUUGAACACAUUUGCUGCUACAGGAUGCUGCCCCAAGCUGUCAGUAAGGUAAUCAAGCACGUCUACCUCAGCCUGGUCAGUUUAUAGGAAUGGCACUCAUCAAUGUAGAUAUAGUUUACAAAUCAGAAUCAACGCCGACACUGACUUUACAUUCCUCUGAAGGACAUCAAGCUACUGAGAGAAGCCCUAACCUAAAUUCAUGCUGGAGCAUUCCUUGCCAGCAACCACGUAGACAGAAGGGAAACAUGUGAACCUCCUUUCAGUACAGAGUUCUUUCUCAGUUUGGGGUAGUAGGAACUGGGCUUCUUGGUUCCAAUAUCAGUUCUUUUGCCUCUUAACCUUUGAGUCCCUGACACCAGUAAAAUGCUGACCAUCAAUUUUAGAAGCACUAUAACCCUCAGGGCACGUGUCAUCUCUUUCCCUUCUCCAUUUCACACACAAACCCUGUAGGUCAUGUUUGUGCAUGUGACAGGGGGAGGGGAAACAUGACACAUGAUCUGAGGGUUACAGUGGGACUACGUGCAUCUGCUUUGGGACAUGAUGGUAUGGCACAAACAAAUGCAGUGUGUUUGUGUGACAUGGAGGCACAUGACUGUGCAUACCACCGGGGAGCUCUGUGGAGAUGUCAGUGGAACUAAUUUUCUUUCCUAAAAGUUGUUCUCCUUCCCAGAUUCUUUUUUUUGUUUGUUUUUUUUUUUUUUUUUUUUGUUUGUUUGUUUUUUUGCGAGGGGGUCACAACAUUACUAUUACUUUGCAACAUAAAAAGAUUCUCAGUGAAAUCUGGCUUUUUUGGCACUGUAGCUACUAGGAAAGCUUAAGAAUUUUCCGCAUAUCAUCUGAUGCGGAAUCAAAAUGUGUAGCAGCAAUACAUAGUGCAUAUUAUAUACUAAAUUGAUUAGAAAAUGGGUUUAAGCAAGAAUAAAUAUAACUUACAUCCAUUUGCCAUUCAAGAAGGGAUGGACAAAAGAGUCUGUCACUUAAUUCAGUAGGGUGAUCAGUGAGGCUGCCCGGAACGUACUUGUUUACAAAAGGGCACAGUAUGGCUUUAGAACUUGUUGGAGUGACGCAGGCUUAAAUAUGAGUGCGCAUAUGAAUUGUUCUAUUUUGUAACUUGUAAGUUGAUCUUUCUGAUAUAUUCCACCCUCCAGUGACCUUUUGCUCAGAAAUUAACCUAAUCCACACACAAACUGAGCUUCCCUGCUUCAUCGCUAUUACCAACAGAUGUUUUCCGCCUAUUUGCACCUAGUGCAAAGCUUCAGUUACCCUUUUUAUUUUUAUAACUACCAAAGUAAAUUUAUGAUGAGUUUUACUAGUUGCUUACACCAGACUGUACUGCCUACAUUUAGUAUAUGGUAUGAUCAGGUAUGAAGUUUAAAAACAUUUUGCAUCAACAAACAAAUGAUAAAAAAACUCCAAAAAGCAAUUUGAGCAGAGGACUAAAUUUCUGCUAAGACCUUUGACAGUAGAUGCAUUGGCUUCCAGCUGAUCAGACAGACUUUCAGGUCCUUGCUGGCUUUAUUCUCAAGUGAUCUGAAGGCAUUUGGAUAGUGCAUUUUAAACCAAUUGGUUGUUUUCUCAGAGUCUACAUAGGGGUCGGGGAGAAAGGGGAGUAUCUUUCUUGCUAAUGUUAGCCAGACAAUGGCAGCUUAACUGUAAAGCCCCCUAAAAGAGAAUAAGCCUAUUGUGUCCCCAGUGUGUUUCCCACAUUUCAAAGGCCACUAAGUAGCACCAACGUCUUUGCCUCUGGGUUACUGAGAAUAUAGACUCUUAUGCUUAUUAAAUGAUGGCUUUCCCUAAUGAUUUGAAACAAAAAAGGCACACACAUACAAAGCCAGAGAUGUGCACAUUUUAGGCUUCUCCUGCCACAAGGUCAAACACAUGAAAAGACACAACAAAAAGUUUGGCCCCAAGAUCCCAGAGCAGACCCACUUGCCCACCUCUCCCACACUGGCCCUUACUCCUUUUUCUGCUGCGAGAGCCCCCCGAUUCCUGCACAAUUAAGUGCGGCACCAAUGGCAUUUCUGCUGCCUCUCCUUCCACUUGGCUUCACUGCUGAGAAAGGAGCUUGUUUGGCGGGAGGCGGGCGCUGCUGCCUGAAUAGUCUCUGAAGCAUUCAUUAUCUCCCGCCUAAUUACAUGGCCAGCAUAGCGGUGGUGUUGUGGGAACAUUGCAUCACAUUAAUCAGCAAGGGGAUGUGCCAAGAUGAAAGGGUCCCCUUGUGUCUGCUCUCUGCUGUGGAAAAUGGGCAGGAGGGUGGGGGAAGGAGCGGGGUAUUUAUCAUGGCGAGGGAGGGAAGGCACAGCGGGUGCACCUGAGCUCAGCCUGGCCCUGCCGCCAUCUUCCCAGCAAAUAAAUACACUUUGUGUUCACGCAUGGUGAUGGACUGAGAGCUCCCGAGUCUGAAAUCCUGUACCACAGCCGAGGUAUGAGCAUGGGUGGCAAGGUUGCACGCCACCUGGUUGCUCCUGGGAUCUAAUCCCCCAUAGCCUGUCCUGCCCUCGGCACUUUUGGAGCAGAAAUGGGGCCACCUGUCUGAACAAGCUGGGAAUCAGCUGCAAGCUGGCCACAGGGCUUCACAGAGAAUCACUGUCCCUCAAAACACCCUCCAAAUACACCCUCCUUCAACAGUCAAAUGUUAAACAGUAGCUGUGAAGGGCCUCCUGGAUUGAAGUCAAGUUAGUAGCCAAAAGCAAAAGUUUCAUUUCCCAAAGCCUGCUGGUGAGAACCCCAGUUCACCCACACAGUAAAAUUUCUAAACGGACUCUUGAAAUCUGAGAAGAGAUCUCAUUUCCUCCUAUCUUUGUCCCACUUGCAGGGCAUUUGAAAGGCUUUGUAAGGCUUUGCAUAGAUGCUUCUCUGUGUGUUGGGGUUGGGGGGAGGGUUGAGGCAUCUACACUGUGGCUGUUUGGCACCCUGUAAAAUACUGGGUCAGACUGGAAUACCAAAUGACAGUCCUUGGCUGAGCCGCUUACUGCUGUGAGAUGCAAUAGCAGUGCUCUAUAGAGAUAAGGAAAAGUAAUGGAAAAACAAAGACACUACGAAUGGAGUUCUUUGCAUCAGUUACCCUUUCCCAUUCACAUUUGAUUCCAUCAAUUCAGGUCAUCCCUCUUUAAAAACCUGCAAGGACUGGCAGCAGCUCAUGCUCAGCUCUUGCCGUUUCACUUUCUGCAGGCCUUCUGCCCAUCACAGCUUUUCUGCACUUGAGCUGUGCUGCAGGUUGACUUCAAUCACUUUGAGUUAAAAGUUUCUUGCCUCCAAACCCCAUUGUUUCUGCAAUGCGUCUGGCUUAUUAACACAGGCUAGUAAAGCCACUUCAGAAGCAGAUUCACUGAGCUGCAGAUAAGUUUAUGCCACAAAGUAGGUGUGAAUGCCAGCUCUUCCUGCAGUGACUGUUGCAGAGUCCUCCCACUGGUAUGCCCAUGCUGUUUUGUGGACAACUGGGGCAGCCUGCUUAUCUGUGUGCCACCUGUUGUGCUGGAGUCACCCUGACCCAGUGCCACCUUUCUCCUCAAAUACUGUUGUGGAGUCAGGUGAUGUUAUUUGGGUUUCAGCACCCAGGGAGCAUUACUUAUGUGAUACCAGACAGUCCCCUACUAAGAGACUUGACUCCAUUGCCCUCUGGUGAGAGGAGUAUAUACAACAGGGACUACCGACCUUUUUUUUUUUUUUGAGGAAGAUCAAUUGGGAACUGCCUAGGUUACAAAUGGCAACCAAACUGAGGAAGGGCAAACUUACAGUUUAUCUUGUUGCAUAUAACAUAAAUUGAGUGUAUGGAGCAGGAGGGAGCAUUUGAUACAGCUCAGCUCCAGACAUCAUCUCUUCAUCCUGGGCUUUUAGUGCCUACAGUUUUUCUCUGGUUUACCUCUGAUUCUUGAUCUCGGACACAAGAAGAAAGAAUGUUCACUGUGAUACAGAGGAUGUUUAAGUCCAGCAUGGGGACUGCCUGGUCAAGCAGCUCUCUUCACCCCACUACCACAAUCCCUCUUUUGUUUUCACUCUUCUUCCAGUGCUAGAGAUCCACAGUAGCAAAAAGCAUCUCAGGUUAAUUUCCACAUUUGCCAGGCUUGAACAGAAUCCUUCCUCUGGCUUUUGGGCACACAUAUCCUUUGAAGAAACUAAUUAUGAGAGCUGUAUAUGCACUUCUGAGCUUCUCUCUCCUGCUCAGUCUUUGGUUGACCAUCCUGUCUUCAACACAGGCCCCUUGGUAGUUUAUUAACCUUUCCCUCACACCACCAGGGCAGUGGUGCUGUAGUCGUCUCCUUCUCAGUAGAGGCCCAGGAAUUCCACAAGAUGGAGAGCAUUUUGCUACGCCCACAUUUACUAAAGACUGGGAAAAGCUCAUGGGACUGGAAUCCCAAGCCAAAGACAAAGCACAGUUUUAUCCCCAGUGGUAUUAAGGUUACUAUCUGAACAAUAACUAGCUGUCCUUUUUGUCUCACAUUUGCCUUUCAAAAGUGAGAUACUAAACUUUGAUCACUUCAGGGUAUCCUGUGCUAAAACUGGGUGGUUUACAUUGGAGGAAAAAAGCUUGAGAUUUAACAUAGUGAAAACACUCUGGGCUCUAAUCUACCAGAUAGAUAAAAAGACAGAAGCAUGAGGAAGACAUCCUAUGGCAUGAUACAGGGGAGACAAUGACAGGAAAAUGUGUCAGACUUUAUAAUUACUGCUAAUGAGGUUAAUCUAAGGGCAACUAAUCCUGUGGGAGAACAUGGUAGCUCUGUGAUCAAGGUCUUCUCUGAAAUACAGGAGUCUUCUGCAGCCCUCGACUCCUAACACCUCUCCCCUUCUGGGACAUGCAGUGCAGAAAUGUCUCCUUUGCUCACCGAGCCACCCCAGGAGUGUGCAACCAGAUACCCCUGCCCCACAAAGGCUGUGGCUUAUCUGCUGGCAACCUGCACCCCACACAAAGAACAGGUUUCCCUCCUGCUUGUGCUAGCUCCUGGCCACAGAGGCACAAACUGGCAUGCAUGCCACGGUUUGUUUUGGAAAGUGCCUUUUCAGUUGUGUUUUACCACCACUGCCAGUUAUUUCAGGACUUGAACUUCAUUUUGGCCCGUGAGUCAAGGCACUGGAAGAAGCAAACGCAGGUGUGGCAAAUGAAGAACUCUAGGAAGAGGCCUGGAGUAAAACUCAGUUCAGUUGCCAUCUCCUUUUUUUCAUGUGCCCCUCUCACUGCCACAUUUACUGUGGCCAUGCAAGACACUCCUGCAGCAAAUUUUGUCUAGUAAACACUGUGCAAAUCAUAGUGUUUCUUCCAGUUUUGGGAAUGUAACUUUGAAACUUCCCCCCGCCACCCCCCGCCCCAAAACAGCAGAAAGGUGAUGGUACAAAAAAAAAAAAAAAAGGGAUUUUCUUAUUUUGGCACAAAAUAUCAAUUGUUUCUGAAGAGGAAAACCAACACUGCAAACAUUCCCUGUAUCAGCAGAGGGAAGGAGAAUGAGGCAAGCAGCUGCGCCACCCAAAGCUCUGCAGCACUGAAAUGGAAGCAUCUCCAAAGGUCCAAGUGCUGCUGAGGUACAUCUGCAAAGACCACAACAAGUCCAAAGCACAGAUAGUUCUGUUUCCUAGUUUCACCCCCACUCUUCAUGUGACAGCUUUCUUUAAAUUCCCACAGUACCUCUUUCUCACCUAGAAAUAUCAUUUUUGGCUUUUCUUUCUCCUUGUCUUCACCUCUGGUCUCCAAAGAGAACCUCUUUUCUCCCAUGCCUCUAUGCUUCUGUUAACCCUGCUUUACAUAUCCUGUUCCAAAAAAUAAAAUCAAACUUCAGCUGUGUGAAAAAAGGACUCAGGCUAUUUGACAGUAACUGCAGCAUUCGUGCCUAUCUCUCACCGGUGCCAAAGGUGAGAAGCAUUUUAGUAAUUCAAUAGAUAGAUAAGAUAGGGGAGGUUAUUUGAUUUGGUAUUUGGCUGUACCAUGUUUCUGAAAUACUGUGCAGCUAAAAAAAUGCUAAAGGUCACAUAAUAUGUUUUUUAGGUAAGUUAAAUAACUUCUUCUAAAGCGAUACGCUCAUUCCAGAUGCAAUUAUCAUAUUUUUAACACCUUACUGUAAGUCCCCCUUUAAAGGAAGCUCUUCUGCAACAGCUCAGUGGCUUUUUUUAAGUAAUUUCCCUCCCUCCACACCACCCCACUAACAUCAACAGGGCUCACAAGGAAAUCCCAACAGGCAGACUGUUAUUCAGACCAUUUCUGCAUUUCUAAGGCUCAUCGACCUUUCUUUUGUCAGAUAAAAGCUUCCCAUCUCUUUAAGCCCUUCAUUCUUGCAAUAGUCCCAAAGAAAAGUUGACAUCCUUGGCAAGGAGAGUGAAAAGCAGCUUGUCUGCCCUUCCCAAUAGGCCAGGCUGGGGUUGUUUUAGCCUGUUUAAAUCUCCCCCUAUUUAUAUGCUAAUGUUCUGGUAUCAGCAGAAAGUAUAAACAGUGUUGUUUACAGCUCCCUAUAGUCUGUGAGCACCAAGCUGCCAGGAGAAUACUGUGUACUGGGCAAAGAGAUGUAUUUAUUGACAAUAAAAAUGGCCACUUCUAAGACUACGAGAAACAAAACUGAACUGUAAAAAUGCAGCAUCAGCCAACAAUAUAACCAUACAAAACAGGACUGGCAAAAAGCCAUGAGCCAGAGGGUCAGUCAUGGGCCCUGGGGAGCUACAAGAUUUCAUAUUUAACAGGGAUGGAUCUGGGGAGACCUUCAGCACAGAGACCUCUGAGAAAAGAGAGCAUCAAGUUCCCUGGCAAGGCAGUUUACAUGCUCCAUUUGCUAUUAUUGCAGAUUUUUGUUAGUGGAUAAUGGCUCAUAACUUGGCUCGUAGCUCUCCUGGAUCCUGAAGUGAAUUAAACUCUCCUAAGAAAAACAGCAUGGUCUAAAGGAGCAAGCACAGGAAUUCUUGAGUUCAGAUCUUGUCUCUCCAUUUUGCUGUGUGGCUCUAUUCACUAGUAGAGCACAAGGCCUUAAAAAUAAGAGCAACAGCAAAACCAGGCAGCAGUGAGGAUGUACACCAAAGAUGUUUAUGCAAUGUCAGGCUCUCUGAAGACACCAGGGCACAGAGCUUGUGUCUUCUCUACAUCAGUUGACAAAAUAGUGACAACUGCAUUGACACUCCCUGUUCAAAACAAGAGAAAUACCUGCUCACAUCAGCAGUGUCUUAUCUUCCAGUAAAUAAAAACUAAAAAGCGUUAAAAGAAUCCCUGUCUACCAUAGCGCCUCUCACAAAUGCAAUUACUGACAAAAGAUGCUGGACUGGCUCACCUGGCAAUCCUUACAGUACGGUUUUCUACUGAUAGACAGAAAAAAGCUGAGACAAAGUUUGACUCACAUUCUCCUACUGCAUAUAUAUUUCAGCUUUCACCAAGUGAGCUUCACCACUCUACUUCCAGAAGGGAAAACACAAGGAACUUCAGUGGAGGCUGAACCCUCCUGUGAGUCCAGGUCACCCGGGCCGGCUGAGCCACAUCCAGUGCCCCGACCGACAAUACUGAACUCCUGGGGCUGGGUGACCAAUCCAGCUUGUCUCCUCAGUGAUCCAAAGCCACAUCGCACCCAGCAGGAACACUGUCUGUCUUGCUGGGCAGUAUCACACAAGGUGCCAAGAAAGGACUGAGUCUUAUCCCUCACAGUUCUGCAAAACCAGUGCAGAGGCACCUGGGUGGGAUAAUGUGAACUUGCUUGGCUGUUAAUGGAGAACUAAACAUAUACUGUAAAUAAAAGGAAGUCAUCUACUUGGCAACUUUAUAUCAGCACUAAAUUCAUGAAAGGGUAAAAUGCCAAGAGAACCACUUGCAAUGACAUUGUGCCUUGUCAGAGCAGCACAGUCACAAAAAGAGUUUGAGGUGGUGAACAAUGAGAGUAUUAUAUUGGCAAAGAUGUGCUUUUCUUCCAGUGGGAAUUCAGUUGCUAAGUGCAUCAAGAGGAUUUACAGCAACCCUUUGCUGUAAGAACUAGACAUAGGCCUGCAUGUAAAUCCCACAAUUGGCUGUGGCACACUGGCUAAGACUACUCUGUGUCCUUCUAGUAGUGUGUUCCCAAAGAAGGAAACAGCUAUUUCUACUACUACAGUAUGUCUGAAAUCAAGUAUUAAGUCUGGUGGUGCCAUGCCAAAUUUUCCAAUGCAGAAAGUUUCUCUGUCUCCUCAGUUAAAGUAAUCUGCAUUUGGUCUUGCACUACUUACUACUUACAUUGUCUUUUUAAGAAACUUAAUCUAGCCAGUUUUGAGCUUUGAAGUUUUGGUGUACAAUGAAAAGGGUUAAGUCUACUCAGACUGCACCAGGUGCCCUGCACGCAUUACACUGCUUAUUUUGUGGGAUUACAAGUGCUUAUCAACAGUGCAAAUAAACCAGCCCAGUUCAUUUAUUCCACUCAAGACCGUCUGAAACUCCUUCAUUUCUAAUAAUUGUCAGCUAAACCCCUAAGCCAGGCAGGGAUGAUGCUUGUUGGAGCUGUUUUGAGCUCUAGCAGCGGUUUCUAAAUCUCCUUCCAUUACUUAAUAUUAAUUACUUUUUGUUAAGCAGCACCAGUAACAGACAAAUAAAGGCAGCCUCAUAGUAAAGGGUUAACCUUUAAGCACAAGGCAUAUCAAUUAAGACCACAGUAUGAGCAGUGAGAGACCGUCUUGAAACUGAAGCCAGGAGCUGGGAUUCUGGUAUUUGUAUUUUUGGCAUCUGUAUCUGUAAGAGGAUAAAAAGGCAUAUGAGUGUUUUUAAGGGUAGGUGGGUGUUUUGGCCAAAGAGAAAGCUGACGCACCUAAAACUAUGAGAGAGAAUUGUAGAUGCACUUCUUGGAGAUGCAUCUACAGGAAUAUUAAUAAAGAAAAGGCUAGAAUGUAGUCUUACAUAAUUCAUUGCUGCUGGGACAUGGGCCGGGAGGGAAGAAUGGAAAAAACAGUCCAUAAAGAUGCCAAUAGUUUCUAAGCAGAAACAUCUGUUGAAGUUUUAAAACUGGCCAGGCCUGCAGCAAGCUCAGCAACAGGAAAGCCUGCAGUUGAUCACUCCUGCCCUCAUCAGCCCCACCAGCUCCCACCCCUGGGAUCUGCGCGGAGCUUGGAAGAUAACUGACACCAUGAAUCAAACACGGCUCCGUUCCUACAGGGGAAAAGGGGAGGAACAGAGAGCCAGGAUGGGUGUCCAGGGAAGACGAAUGAUGAUUUGGACUGGAAGUAUACAGGAAGAGUUACAAAAGAGUAAGGGAACAUGCAAAGGGAGACCCAGUGGCUUAUCCACUCUGUCCCAAGGGGGCUUGUACACUGAGUUUCCAUUGCCUUGUCCAGUCUAAUUUUAAGUGUCUCAAGCAAAAGGCCUUGCUCCCCUCGGGAGGCUAUUGCAAAAUCUCACAAAUCAUCUUUGCCUUUUACAUGACUGCUUCUUCCUUUGUGAUAGUUCAUUUGAUUUUCUUUGUUUUCUCUUGAUAUUCAACAGUGCCCUUAGACAUAUCAGUUCCAAACAGCAAUUUCUUCUUCCUGAAAGCAUUUGUUCCCCUCUGCUGUCUUCUCUCAAGGAGCUAUCUUAAAAAUAUCUGUGGAGGUUGUCUUUCGUUCAUCUCUGCAAGAUCUGCAUCUGCCAGCAGGAAGGGAGAACAGUUCUGUUGGAUCUUACAAGGAUCAAUAAAAGGGGAGCCUCAGCUGCUAUAUUACAAGAAAAACAUAAAUUAGCGCAAGUUCUUACAAAGCAGGAUUUGGAGCCUUCCUUCCCCCAUCUCCAAUCAUUUCAGAUGCCAAUUUUGAUUACUGGUCAUGUUAAAGCCUCUUGAAGUAUAUAAACCUUUAUCCACCAAGAAAGCCCAACUUCAGUCAAUGACAACGAAAAUUUUAACGGCUAGUCCUUGGGUGGAGAUUCCAUUUUUAUUUCAAACCCAAAACUCCAGCAGUGUGCAUUAUCCAUGGCAGUGGGCAGCAACCUAGCAGUGAAUUUCUGAGCUUAUAAAGGAUUCUAUUUUAGAGUUAGUGGUGACUGAAAUACUAUUAGAACUGUGUUUCAUUUCUCAAAAAAGGGUAAUAUUUGAGAGCCUGGGAUUUCAAAAAUAUUUAUCCUGCACUUUUGAAAAUCUAAGCAAAACCCUUCCCCUCCCUUAAACUAAUCGCUAACAUUUUCCAAGCAAGUUUUUCUAUAUAAAGUUAGACUGAAGGGUCAACAUAUGGCUUAGAUUGAAACUCUUGCUGUGAAAUUAUCCAUGCAGUCCACAACCAGCACCUCCAUAACAAUAACAGGAGUGAGCACAGUAGUGGUUAAAGUGAUCAGAUGUUCAAAAACAAACUCUGCAGUUUUCAGUAUUCAUCAGCUUUCAGAUUUUGACCUGCUCUAGGUCUGCACCCCAAAAUGGAACGUAGUGAUUUGCCUCCAGGCUCAAAUGCUGCCAGUCCUCAGCACUGAACAUCAAAGCAGGCUUGCUGCUCUAGUGGCUCUCUUCCAAACUGCCUGGCUCUCUGCUCUUCUUCUCCACCUUUUGCCUUUUUUUUUUUUCAUUAAAUUAGCAGCUUUGAACAAGAAACUAUGGCACUGUCUGAAGCUCCAAUGAUUCAUUUAUCAGUCUUUCUAAGAUCUUCUCCACCCUCAUACUUGCUUUCUGGCUAUCUUUAUAAACACUGUAUCAGAGGAGGACUUCUUGAAAGUGAACUUGCGGAGCCAGUCAUCCUUACUUAAUGUUGACAGUGGUACAAAUAACAUCAUUACCAGAAGUAGUGGUACUAGAUGCAGCUCAAAGCGACUGACCAAAAGGUCUUAUCAGUCGCUUGGUUUUCCUUUCAGGUGUGGGGCAAAGUUUUCACAUUGCAUGUGAGGCACCAGAUGACUUCAAAGACUGAGAAACACAAAAAGGCUUAGGAAGCUUCUUGCAUCCCGCUAUUCCUCCUGCAGAUUUCUAACCAGUCUCAACCAGCUGCCUACAUCCAAUCUGGGCUCAUGAAGCCCCAGUUCCCUGCAGGUCCUCUGGCAGCACACAAGAAGGGAAUGGUCUCCAACAAUGCAGGAGUAAAGGGAACUUUUAACUCAAUGUUAAGCCUCUUAAAAUUGAACCGAGGUUCCUCUGAGAUUUUAUUAAAUCUGCCAGCCUGUGAAAUACUGCCCAGUGGAUCAAAGACACAAUGCACCCUUUCUUAGCUUAUGUUGAGCUCUUCAUGGAUCUCCAAAGGGCAGUAGGGCUCUAAUGUCUCGUUAGGUCAGUCACUAAAUACAAGGAACCCAAAAACUCACCAGAGACCAAGAGUCAGGAUGGGACUCUGCCAUCCCUUCAGGAGCACGACGUCUGACCCUUUUAAUUCAUCUUCACUCCCUUCUCCCCCCAGUACACUGAGAACCACUCACUGUUGCAGAUGUAUAAAACCCUGCCAUGACAACUACUAAAAAGGGCAGCUCCAUGCUGGCAUUGAUCCUGCCUUCAUCUCACUGCAUUCAUUGUCUAGGAGAACAGAGGCUGGAUUAGAAGGGGGUUUAGAGUGCAACCAGGCAGUAAGAUUAAUAACUGCUCUUAGCUUCAUUCAUGAUCAAUUGAGUGUGUGUGAAUCUGCAGAGGACCUUCUUCAAACAACCAGUAGGGAUGGUAGUGGCAGUCAUGGAAUCAGAAAUCCAGCAAAGCAAAUUUCUGCUACAGAGCAUUUCUUAUAGGGGAAAAACAGAACGUUUUGCUGUCUCUUGACCAGCAAAUACCACUCUGCUUGCAUAGAUCUGCUAGUAUUUACUCCCAAAUCUGUUAUGCACCCUAUCUUACUCCCUUAUAAGUCCACGGACUCCAGUGGGCACGCAGGCAAGCCUUAUAUGAAGCAAAGUUUGCUAUCAGAAAUGCUUUCAGUUGCACACUUGAAAUGUGUCAGCUACAUUUUAAACAAAUCAAACACCUUGAAGCCUACAGCAUAAUAUGUUUCACCAGAUUUAUCCCAACUUUGUCUCCUGCAAGUAAUACAGAUAAAUCACAGGGUCUGUCUCCUUUUUCCUGGAGGGGUUAGCACUUCCUUUAUGAAUUCUUGUGUAUGUGAAUACAAGAUACAGCAUGCACAGAGAUGACCACCAAAUGGGUUUCCUAUGAACCCUCAUGUUGCUAAGACCUGACUGCUCAGAAUUUGGCAGCUGCUAGUGUAAAAGUGAAAAAUCCAGUGGUAUGCGAAUGAAAACUGGCCAUGUUCUACAUUCAUCACCUAAUUCUCUUAAUAUCACAAACCAAAGUAUUUUUGUAGCACUUUGACUGGUUGCUUACAAAGGCAUGCAGCACAAAGAGUGACCCCAGUGUGCGUGCAUAUGCAAGACUUUUGGGGCACUGCUCUCAUGGGAGCAAAGCCAUGUAGGAAAGGCACAUGCUGGGUUUUGAUUUCAGAAUAUAGAACAUAAAAUAAUAUUUCCAGAGAUGCUCCUAUUUUGCAUUUGUCCAUCACUUUUUAUUCUAGAAAACAUCCAAGAAAAGAAGACCAAGCUAGGCAAACGAAUGCCUAUAUCCAUAACUGAAAUGGAGCCAGAAGCAGCAGUUGGCCACCCAAGACAGUACUACACAGCAGCUUAGGAAAAAGGUGGAAAAAACAUUUCCCUUUAUAAUGGUCAACAAUACCUUGCAGGCAUGUCUGUGCAGCCAUGGAAUGCCUGGAGCCAGGCUUGAAAAACGUGGAACCCUCCAGGAAUUUUGCUUGGUCUGACAAAGGACAAGAGGAAGGGCAUGUGGUUGAUUUGCCCUUACCACUCUCCCUAACACGUCCUGUAACGUGUCCUGCAGGACCAAAAUUCUUGCAUCAAAUAAUGGAGCGUUACCUGAAUAGUCAUCCCACAGUCUGCGCACAGCAGUUGGCUGUAUUCCCAAGCAUUUAGAAAUUGGCCAUCCCUAUUUAAUUGAAACAGCAGGAGAAUUUAUGGAAGCAAAAUUGAAUUCCCCUAACUGAUAAUUGAAAGAUUAACUUCUGGAGGGAAUGCCUUGAGAUUUUUAAUGACCACACACGAUCAGGACCUUGGUUUAAUAUCCCAUCUAUCCAUGUAGUACUGACUAAAACAGUGCUGAUGGUAGAAAAAAGGAGAAAAGGAACAAAAAGAACAUAUAGGCCUCUGACAUCUGAAAUACGGUGUAAAGAGACCACUGCAGCAGACCCACAAAGUCUGGCUGCCCGAAGAAUUUGUUAUUGAUCAAGAAUUCAUACUGGCAUCAGUGAGAAAGAGUCCAGGAAAAACAGAGCUGCUCCAUCACGUUUUAAAACAAAACAAAACAAAAAAAUCCCACAAAAACCCCCACAGGCUCUUCUUUUCAUUAAGCCAAGUGCCAGUGGCUUCUGCAGACCUCAACCAAGAUUGUUAAUAGUUGAACUUGGACUACCUUUAUGGGACCACCAUAUGAGACUCAUAUUCACUCUUCACAGUAAUUUUAAAUUCUGUUUCCAAUCCAUGCUAACCUCUUACCUCCCCAAAAGCGUUCAUGAAAAAUACACAUUGGCAUUAAAGAGAGACUAUAGCCCUUCACAUCCAAUGUGAUCCACUGGGGCAGGGGAUGGGUGAAUCUCCAGUGGUGGUGCAGCAAGGCAGCGCUGCUGCAGGCUCCCAAGCCCAACCUCGAGGCCCAAGGCAACUCAGCAACUUCGAAGUGUUUCUUUUUCAUGACAAGGCUAAAUGACUUGAUUGGAUUAUUUUGAAUUAGACCUUCUUCAAUGCUGCCUCUUUGGCAGUUUUAGCAAAGAACUGACCACGGAAAUAUCCUUUUUUGUUGAUAUGAAAGGACUUUGCUUUAGGAUUGAGGCACACCAGCCAGAGCAAUAAGGAGAAUAUGGAACAAACUGCAAACACCAGUCUUCAAGGCUGUCACACCAACAUUAAAUUCACUUAAAAAACAGUUGAGAGAGACAGAUGGUAAGGUACCAAAGAAUGCUGAUACUUCUGAGCAUGGGAGUGAGACAUGGGUCAUUUGUAAAAAUAGCAGAAACCAUGUCUGUAACUUCAGCAACAUUCAAUUCUUGUAUUUAAAAGGGCCCUCCGAGGCUGCAGGUUUCACGCACGUACCCCGGCUUUCAAAGGGAACAUGGGAAAAUAAGCUCAUUGUGUCGGAAGGCCUUGAAAGCGAAAGGAGGCUUGCAGCAGGACGGGAGGAGGGGAAGAGCUGGAGCCCAGCUUGAAAACGCAUGGAGAGAAAUCGAAAACAAACACAUACCUACCCCCAACACGCACAGGCGCACACAUGCAAGGCCUAAACUCUGACUGAACUCUGAAAUCGGAGACUGAGCUGGUUUGGGAGCCUCUGCUCACUUUUCUCCGUUUUUUUUUUUUUUUUUUUUUUAAAGAAAAAAAGUUUGUUGGUUUGCUUUCAAUUACCUCCUCCUCUAUAAGGAGGAAAAGAAAAUCAGCGAAGCUGUGUGUUAUGUGCAUGCACAUGUGCAUAUGUGUGUGUCUCCCAGACAGCUGGGGAAGAGUGAGCUGUCAAAAGCCCAGUCCAGCCUCUUCUUGUUCCUGUUCUUCUACAGAAGGGACUGUGACACACUAUUAAAACAAAGAGAAGAAAGAUGCUCUGGGAGACAUCCUGGAGGAUUCAGAGUUGCUGAUGCACAGUAUGCCCUGGUCAGGUGAUGUGGUCCCAGUUCUCCGCUCAUGCUGUCCCUCCACUCCCAGUGCUGCUGUACCUGCCUCAAGUCUGCUCUGCCACUGUCUGGGGUUGUUUGCUCAUCCAUUUAUUCAUAAAUCAAGAGUCAAUAAACACUUUCACCUUCUUCAUGCUUCACGGAUAGUAGAACUUCUGCUCGACUUCUUGACUCUCUCCAUAUAUCAAGGCUUGAUAGCUGAAUUUCCCUACUUGCUGCCUACUGCUGACAUUUUUCUCUUGCAGCUCUCACCCUGCCCCUGCUUUCUUUCCUUUCUUUCCUUAAACCCAGUCGACAGCACUACCUUUCUGGGCUGUGCCCUUUGGCUGCAGGGGCAGUGAACCCAGUUCCCAAGAGGAAGCUUCAUGCCCCAAAAUGCAGGUUAGGUAAUUUAGCACUUCUGUGAACCAAGUAUUGUCUUUUCAAAAUAUUUUUAAAAGAGAACUUGUUCACCAAAGAACAAAAGACCAGGAAGGUUUAUAACUCCUAACAGAAAACAUCUGCUUGAACAUAAAGCUGGGAAUGUAUUGAUAUUUUCAAUUUGGGCUCAGGAGAGUCAGAAGCAAGAAUACCAGCCUGCAGGCUGCUGCUCAGACUUAUCUUUCUGUUAAUGAAACAGUUUUUGCAAGAGACAUGUUGUCACAACAUUAAAGAAAACCCAACAAAAUACUUCCAGAAGACUCCAUUAUAUGCUUAAUGAAGCUUAAUGUUUCCCUCUCACACUCCAGACUACAAGGACAGGCUGCAACCCCACACGAAAUACUGCUUGCCAUUAUAGAUCAAUCAGAGGGAAGAGAAAUAAAGAGUUGAUUCUGUAGUUGUUCUUUAUUAAUAAUUUUAAACUGAAGUUAUAUAGUAAAAUACCCACCACUGAUUCUUUAAAAACAAACUCCACCAAAACCCAGACCUGUGAAUUUUGAUCAUUAUGGGAAUUUUUGCGUCUCCUCUCUUGAAAGUAACAUGACCCAUGGCCCAUUUUUCAAGCUAGAUUUCAUUCCUCUCCAGUCAGCUGUCAGGAAACCACAGAAGGUGCCUGAAAGAGCACAAGAAAUGGCUGGUUCUAAUCUGAAGGAAAAAAAAAAAGUUGAGGAACAAGGCAGCUACUUGUGGCAGAAUGUUAUUUUUUCUUCAGUCUCUGCCUGCAUAUUUUCACAACAUGUGUACCCUGUUACCCCGUCACUUCCCUCUUUUCCUUGGGUAAAUAUCUCUGCUUUGGAAUAAAAGAAGGCCCAGGGGUGCUACUUGUAAGGACCGCGCUCGCCUUGAUAUGUUGUUUUUGAACUGAACACAUACAAUGGACACAUUUCAAACUUGGACCUUUGCCACCAUAGAUGUUGCUUUUAGUUUAACCUUCUCAGAUGAUGGAGGGAGGCUGGAGGUAAGGAGGAGGCUGGGAGUGGGGUCAUACACUCCAUCCUUUACCAGAUGUGGGAUCUCGUGGGAGCCAGGCCCGAUAGCCCACACAAACCCCUCUAAGCACAUACCAGGAAUGCAAAAUGUCCCUCUUCAAGUGCCGAGUAUUCAUAAAAUCAAACACAAACCCCAGGGAGAAAUGGAUGACUAGGCCAUACCUUUGCCAUCAAGCUGCUUAGAUUGAAAAAAAAAAAAAAUAGGUGGUGUGAUUAAUACUUUAUUUUUUUUAAAGAAAUAAUUUGUUUACAGGUUAUUUGUGAAGAAGGGAAUAAAUUCAAAUAUUUUCCCCCCAUCUUCGCCCUGUAAACUGCAUGCCCUGUGAAAUGCACUGUUUCAUGUAUGUGACUUAACCUGACAUUCACAAUCCAACAGAUGGACUGGACUAGAUUAGACAUCUGUUCUGUAUAAGAAUUAGAUACAGAAUUGGGACCUAGGAAAUUCUGGAUUAAACUGGCUCAAAGACCAAGCCACGCGCAAAUACUAACCCAGUUAAAGACACUGGGUAAGAUACACUUUUCAACAUAAUUGUCAUGUAUUAAAUGCCAAUGCAGCAAGAGUUAGGGGAAGGACAAAAGUUGGCAGUGGGCUCGCCCUGUGAAGUCACAUGCCAGGCUGCUUGCAAGGGGUCCGUGAACAAGCCUGAACCCUUGAAAGCUGCCAUGUGUACUAAGCAACUCGGAGCUGGGAAGAGCUGCCAGUGAGGCUGAGGGUAGUGCUCAAGCAAAAUGAAUUUGGGAACAAAACAAACUAUUGAGCAGUUCCUGAAAGGCACUGGGGAGAUCAGGAAGAGUUGAGAAUUCUUUCCACUAGACAGCAUUGAGUCCAGCUCUGCAAACCAUUUUUGAACAUGUAUUCUACAUGCAUGGGCUCACUUAAGUUGAUAACAUAUCCAGCCUCAUUUGAUCACAAACCUGGCAGCAGAUCACCUGAAGAGUCAUACUUCAGUGCUUGGUCUUUACUAACCAUUUCUUCCUCAUUGAUCUCUCCAAUUAACUGAAUCUGAUCCCUUCUCCUUCUUCCAGAACUAAAACAGCUACUAAGGUCUUCUCUUCCCCAUCAUUACACUGUAAUUUCUUUCCUCGAAUGUCCCCUUUUCAUUCUUUCUUUUCUCCUUAAUCUCCCUGACAUCCUUCACUAGCCCUGAACAUGUUUUCCCUCCCUACCCAUUCACUUACCAUGAUGCUAUCCUAUCCUCAGCUCUACAGCUCUAAGGAGUAGCCAACCCCUUGCAUAGAGCACAGAUAAAUUACAAACUUUAUGGCUGCCCACAUGGUUACCCUUCCCUUUCUUCCAGUAAAUCCCAUCCAAAGGACCAUUUCUCCCUCAAAACCAGCAAGUAAUUUGCCAGCAUGCAAUGGAAAAGAUUGGGUAGAUGAUAUUUAAUUAUCUAUUUACAUCUUAGGGGUGUUCUUCCAGAACCUAAGUAUUAGACAGCUUUAACCUUGAAAACCACUGAAGCUCCUUGAAAACCAUACUGGCACACUGUGAUUCUCAUGUCACACGUUAUGCUCCCCUUCCCAACAGCGCACCUCAUCUAGAGCAUGAGCAGUGAGGUAGCUGAGGAAGAAGGUGCUGUUAGAGAAAUGCUAUAAAUGGGCAUAUACUGGAGCAACCACUAGCAUGCGUUCCAUGUACGGAGAUUGAGCCAGUCCCUUGGGUAGUACUGAGACAAGGGGAAUGAAAAUAAUCUUUAUCAUUCACUUUUUGCGGUGUGGAUGGAUAUAGUGGACAUAUUCUAAAUCUAGUUUUUGUGUAUCAAACCAGAAGUAAAAAUAGAAAACUCCGUCACUGUUCGGUUGUUCGAGAAAUCAACAUUUUCCUCUCAGAAAAGAAACACUAAUGAAAAUAGCCUGUAAUUUGGAACCUAGCAAGCCCUAGGGCAUUUUAGACUCCAGAAACCUGAAAGUCCAAAAUAGCUCCACAUUGGACCAUAUUUUCGGAAAUUGCGGAUUUAUAUGUAUACACAGACCUAUGAUCUGUGAAAACUCCAAGAGAGGUUAGGAAUACAAUAAACUUAAAUUUCUGCAGCUCCUUUACUAACCAACUGAACUAACUACCUUAUUUAAGUUGGUGUCAGGUUUUUAUCCACUACUAAGAUUCAAACAGCUCUGGAGUAAAACAUAGCAGUACUUUGUAGGAUCCAAGCAGUGUUAAGCUGCAGUAAAAAAUAUAUAAAGGAAUCUAAUAACAUUACAGGAGGAGAAUUUAGGUCCUACGUAAGGUAAAUGAAUGUCAGAUACUUUUUGGCAUGGAAGGGCCAACAGAGUUUUCACCUAUAGUACAUGUGCUGUGUCCCCAGUGCUACAGGAGCCAGGUCUGUGCUGUGACAAACAGCAUCUUUCCUUGGUCUAGUGCAGGAGAAGUCCCCUGUUCCGCGGGGUACCCUUGGAAAAACAGUUACUAUGGAAAGGUGCAGAAAGCUGCCUGGAGUGUGGGCAAAUUAGCCAGUACCCCUGGCACUGCUGGAAUCCCCUCAGGCAGCUUAUCAGGUGAAGUGACAGCAGGACCAAGGCUCCAUUUCAGACACUGCUGCCACUCAGCCCAGCAGCUGGGCAGCAGUCCUCACCAACUGACUCUGCAGUGGAAGACUUAAGAGGAGACGUAAGAAAUAAAAAGGCGCAAGACCUGCCAAAUCGCAAAACCUUGUAACAUGAUACUAGCAAUGGUAUGUAUGCAAGAAAACAGAACACCACCACAGACAGCUAAAAAAAGGUGUUGCCACGACCUGAUAACUUCAUAUAAAAUGAUACGGGCCCUGCUGCUGUCUGCCCCAUGAAGAAAAAGAGGACUCAUAUAUUCAACUCUACACUAGUUCCUUUCUCUCUUUUACAUACAAUGUCUAGGUUUCAACUUGAAUAAGUUCACCCUGCGAAGUGGCAGAACACCAGAGUCAUCUAAUGAGCCUCUGAAAUCCACUGCUGCUUACUAGGGAGGCCAAGAUUUCAAGACAUAAAAGAUGUGCAUGUGCGUGGCUAAGUGGCAUCUUCUAGUACAGAUGACCUAAACAAGUAUGUGCUAUGUUCAGCUUCAAUGAAACUGCAAGUAGGUAAGAACAGCCCAGAACCUGUACUGACUGAUAUACCAGGAACAGAAUUACUAGCUAAUAAUUUGUAAUCCAAAAUAGAAAUGAUAUCAAAUCUUGUGACUUGCACCCUUAACCAAGUAGAUCUAGAGCUUUUUUACUGUUAUUCUUCUUUUUGACAGUAUCGCUUCACUCACUUUAAAUAGUAUAUUGAAUUAGGAAAGCAACAGCAAGUCCUUAAACAGAUUAGACAAGCAGGCAGUAAAACUUCCAACAUUUUGUGGUGCUCAGAUCCAGGCUUCUGCCUCUCUGUUUAAGAUGUCUACAAAAUAGAGACCUGCUGUCAGACUGGAUUUUGUAAUCACAAUUCAGGUUCAUCACAGAGUCACACUGUACAGCAUGGCAGUACAUUACGUGACAUUGUAUUGCAAUGAGAAGGCGACUGAGGCUUUUUUUGGGGUUUGGACUCCACGCUCUGCACCGCACAGAUCAUACUGAAGCAAUGAAAGGAGGAGACUGAAGGCUGACUUUCCUUGCUAAAUCUCUGGCCAAUCUUGCUUUCCAACCAUCAAAUUUCAUUUCCCUAGUCUGCAAGUGGAAAUAAAAGAAUGAGAGAACAACUGUAUUCUUUUCAUCCCUCAACAUUUCAAAUUCAUAAAAGCAAAUAAGUUUUCUUGGUGGCACCCUUGGGCAGCCUGGAGUUCCCCCCCGGCAAUAUCAGAGAAGCAGUUCUGCCUUCACUAGGGUGUCCUUCAAAUCCUUCUGUGCUUGCACUGAGGCCAUGAGAUGCAAAGAUACCAGGGAAACAGAGCUGCGAUUUACACUGAC